This 294-nucleotide transfer-messenger RNA is filed under the name Klebsiella pneumoniae. It matches the Rfam family "transfer-messenger RNA", at positions 63 to 363 of the family's 374-position model. From Rfam's summary of the family: Bacterial tmRNA, also known as 10Sa RNA or SsrA, is named for its dual tRNA and mRNA-like properties. Its role is to liberate the mRNA from a stalled ribosome. To accomplish this part of the tmRNA is used as a reading frame that ends in a translation stop signal. Lineage: Bacteria; Pseudomonadati; Pseudomonadota; Gammaproteobacteria; Enterobacterales; Enterobacteriaceae. The record is from RNAcentral.
CCCUGCUGAAAUAAUCCUGCGUGAUGGGGCUGGUAACGACAUUCACAAAUCUUUAGCAGCUUAAUAACCUGCUCUGAGCCCUCUCUCCCUAGCUUCCGCUCUUAAGACGGGGAUCAAAGAGAGGUCAAACCCAAAAGAGAUCGCGUGGAUGCCCUGCCUGGGGUUGAAGCGUUAAAUCUAAUCAGGCUAGUUUGUUAGUGGCGUGUCUGUCCGCAGCUGGCAAGCGAAUGUAAAGACUGACUAAGCAUGUAGUGCCGAGGAUGUAGGAAUUUCGGACGCGGGUUCAACUCCCGC